AGACUGUCCAUCGCGAUCUAAUCUGGACCGUUCGAUCUCGUUUGAAUCUGGUCGUUCGAUCGCGUUUGUGAAGGAGCACAUCCAGGUCGUCCGUGCCCGCGGGAACUGACCUGGGCCAUUCAAUCGUGGGCAUGUAGAUCGCUCGUAUGGCACCACAUCAGCGGCCGUUGCUAUGUGGCGUGUCCUGGUUCGUCGGAGCUACU
RNAcentral lists this long non-coding RNA (203 nucleotides) under Carica papaya (papaya). RNAcentral's name for it is "long non-coding RNA (CPAP_LNC015943)". Lineage: Eukaryota; Viridiplantae; Streptophyta; Magnoliopsida; Brassicales; Caricaceae. The record is from RNAcentral.